GGGUCAGUAGGUUGGUCGUGCCACCGGUACGUACUGGUCUCACUGAUUCCUCCUUCCUGAAGAACCGUAAUGUCAUUAAUUUGGUGUUGCGGGGAAACAGGACUGUUACUUUGAAAAAAUUAGAGUGUUUAAAGCAAGCUAACGCUUGAGUACAUUAGCAUGGAAUAAUGAAAUAGGACGAUCGAUCCUAUUUUGUUGGUUUCUAGGAUUGACGUA
Molecule: ribosomal RNA, 216 nt
Filed under: Glomeromycotina sp.
Lineage: Eukaryota; Fungi; Glomeromycota
Description: partial small subunit ribosomal RNA
Rfam family: Eukaryotic small subunit ribosomal RNA (bases 40-216)
Source: RNAcentral